This 300-nucleotide unclassified non-coding RNA is filed under the name uncultured fungus. RNAcentral's name for it is "sequence contains 5.8S rRNA gene, ITS2". The stretch from base 1 to 62 matches the Rfam family "5.8S ribosomal RNA", at positions 84 to 154 of the family's 154-position model. The record is from RNAcentral. Lineage: Eukaryota; Fungi.
GUGAAUCAUCGAAUCUUUGAACGCAACUUGCGCCUCAAUGAGGCAUGUCUGUUUGAGUGCCGUAUUCAACUAUAUAACAAUUAUUUAUUGAUUGAUAUAUGAGAUGGUUGUUGUCAAGUAGCAGUUAUGCGUUAUAUGUAUUAACAUACAUGAUAACAAGUCAUUCUUCGCUCACUGACUCGACUUAAAUGUAGCUUGGAUAAGUAGUUCUGUAUGAACGGCUAGCCCGAGUGCUAAGCAUUCUUGGUUCUAGUUUAUUAAUACAGUGCUGCGUAAUGUUUAAUAAUAUCAUGUAAAAAU